UUAAAUGCGAUGAAGGGAAGGAGUAUGCUAUUGUUUUUCUUUCAGAGAGAAGGCGGCAGGUGAAAGCCUUUAGAAAAUGUAGCAGAAGCAGUCCCAAAGCUUCCUGCCGAAAAGAGUAGGCAGAGACGGAGCAGCCGUUACAGCAUUAAGUGACCAUUUUGGUAAUAAGGGUGGUACCGCGGAGAUAGCCUUCGUCCCUAUA
Molecule: non-coding RNA, 202 nt
Filed under: Caloramator quimbayensis
Lineage: Bacteria; Bacillati; Bacillota; Clostridia; Eubacteriales; Clostridiaceae
Description: T-box sequence
Rfam family: T-box leader
About the family: Uncharged tRNA acts as the effector for transcription antitermination of genes in the T-box leader family. T-boxes are found upstream of many aminoacyl-tRNA synthetase genes and some amino acid biosynthetic genes usually in Gram-positive bacteria. The anticodon of a specific tRNA base pairs to a specifier sequence within the T-box motif, and the NCCA acceptor tail of the tRNA base pairs to a conserved bulge in the T-box antiterminator hairpin.
Source: RNAcentral